Molecule: transfer RNA, 61 nt
Filed under: Ligilactobacillus salivarius
Lineage: Bacteria; Bacillati; Bacillota; Bacilli; Lactobacillales; Lactobacillaceae
Description: Lactobacillus salivarius tRNA-Pro
Rfam family: tRNA
About the family: Transfer RNA (tRNA) molecules are approximately 80 nucleotides in length. Their secondary structure includes four short double-helical elements and three loops (D, anti-codon, and T loops). Further hydrogen bonds mediate the characteristic L-shaped molecular structure. tRNAs have two regions of fundamental functional importance: the anti-codon, which is responsible for specific mRNA codon recognition, and the 3' end, to which the tRNAs corresponding amino acid is attached (by aminoacyl-tRNA synthetases). tRNAs cope with the degeneracy of the genetic code in two manners: having more than one tRNA (with a specific anti-codon) for a particular amino acid; and 'wobble' base-pairing, i.e. permitting non-standard base-pairing at the 3rd anti-codon position.
Source: RNAcentral
GCGGGAAGUAGCUCAGUUUGGUAGAGCACCUGGUUUGGGACCAGGGGGUCGCAGGUUCGAA